UCUGCCUUUACUCCAGUAGAUUUCCUUCAGAGCUGCUGAAAGUGGAAUUGAUGAGCUGGGAGGAAACAGUUGCUUUGGAGAAAUGCCGUGUUCCGGAUAUGGGGCUCAGUGAGCUGAUUGUGGAGAGGCUAAGGAUGAAGACUGACUCCCCACCCCCAUGAAAUGAUCGGGGCUGAAGUGGAAAAAUUAAAUACUGUAACUGAAUCUUGAAAAUGGUCUGUAAUGAAACAUCCUGGACCUGAGCCCCAAGAACAGUAGGGUAAGGGCCUCCAACUGAGUAGGGCCCUGAAGAAAAGGGACUGAGUGGUUUUAUGGCCUACCUGAGCUGAGUUAAAGAUAAUCAGCUCCUGUGCUUUCAGGGCUUGCUCUGGUCUCUUAGGAAGUAGCCAGGGCUGUGUUGCUAGAGGCAGGAUGCUUGACUCGAUCGGCCCAUCCACUGUUUUAUUAAUUGUGUUACACUGUAGCCUAGAGGCCCUACUGUGCUAGGGUUUGUACAGACACUUUAUUAGAGACCAUCCCUGUCCCAAAGAGUUUUGUUUGCUUUGUCUACUUAGGUUAUAAAGGAUGGAAAAGAGGAAGAAUCAGCAUUGCGGAUGGGAAACUGAGGUACAGAGAGUUGAAGACUGAAAUUUUCAGAGGAGCCCAGUGGAGUUAGGUGAAGUUGGGAAGCCAGGGAGUCCAUGUUGCAACAUGAGGAAGUUGGGGGCAAGAACUCUGAAGACAAGACUGGCUGGUUUUGCUUCUCCCUCCUCACCCUGGAUCCCUUAUAGGAAUCACAGAUGCGCACACUUACUCCUCUGAUACCAGCUCAGACCUUUAUUUCGUGCUUCGAAUGUUGGCAUCCUCUAUCAUCCUGUUUUCUCUUCACCCCAAAUAAACAGACAUAGAUGCUUUCCCAUUGACCUGGGAGCUGCCACUGCAGUCCUGCUACAUCUUGAAGCUGUUGUGCUGAACAACUGGGAGACAGUGAGAGAGAUGGAGCUGAGAGGCAAUGCUAUGUGAACCAAAUUCAGCAACAUGUGGUUUUGAGUUUAGGUAACCAGGGGAGUUCUACUGAAGUCAGGACAAAUUUUCAGUGUCAUGAGCAGAGAUGCCAAGCUGGACCCUCAAAACCAGGGCCAUCCCAGAAAACAUGAGCCAUUUGGUCAUCAAGAGUUUGAACUAGCUUUUGGGGGUUCAGCUGAA
Non-coding RNA from Chelonoidis abingdonii (Abingdon island giant tortoise), 1185 nucleotides. The record is from RefSeq and is a predicted model, not a curated record. NCBI's taxonomy places the organism in Eukaryota, Metazoa, Chordata, Testudines, Testudinidae.